RNAcentral lists this ribosomal RNA (253 nucleotides) under uncultured bacterium. RNAcentral describes it as "partial 16S ribosomal RNA". It matches the Rfam family "Bacterial small subunit ribosomal RNA", at positions 524 to 776 of the family's 1533-position model. The record is from RNAcentral.
UACGUAGGGGGCAAGCGUUGUCCGGAUUUAUUGGGCGUAAAGAGCGUGUAGGCGGCUUUACAGGUCCGUUGUGAAAACUCGAGGCUCAACCUCGAGACGCCGGUGGAAACCGUAAAGCUAGAGUCCGGAAGAGGAGAGUGGAAUUCCUGGUGUAGCGGUGAAGUGCGCAGAUAUCAGGAGGAACACCCGUGGCGAAAGCGGCUCUCUGGGACGGUACUGACGCUGAGACGCGAAAGCGUGGGGAGCGAACAGG